CCUCCUAAAAGGUAACGGAGGCGCUCAAAGGUUCCCUCAGAAUGGUUGGAAAUCAUUCAUAGAGUGUAAAGGCAUAAGGGAGCUUGACUGCGAGACCUACAAGUCGAGCAGGGUCGAAAGACGGACUUAGUGAUCCGGUGGUUCCGCAUGGAAGGGCCAUCGCUCAACGGAUAAAAGCUACCCCGGGGAUAACAGGCUUAUCUCCCCCAAGAGUUCACAUCGACGGGGAGGUUUGGCACCUCGAUGUCGGCUCAUCGCAUCCUGGGGCUGUAGUCGGUCCCAAGGGUUGGGCUGUUCGCCCAUUAAAGCGGUACGCGAGCUGGGUUCAGAACGUCGUGAGACAGUUCGGUCCCUAUCCGUCGUGGGCGUAGGAAAUUUGAGAGGAGCUGUCCUUAGUACGAGAG
Molecule: ribosomal RNA, 404 nt
Filed under: Staphylococcus aureus
Lineage: Bacteria; Bacillati; Bacillota; Bacilli; Caryophanales; Staphylococcaceae
Description: partial 23S ribosomal RNA
Rfam family: Bacterial large subunit ribosomal RNA
Source: RNAcentral